Long non-coding RNA from Halichondria panicea, 1424 nucleotides. RefSeq lists it as uncharacterized. NCBI's taxonomy places the organism in Eukaryota, Metazoa, Porifera, Demospongiae, Suberitida, Halichondriidae. The record is from RefSeq and is a predicted model, not a curated record. The transcript has 2 exons.
UGUAGAAGCCAUAAUUAUGCUCCAAAACACUUUGUGUCCUUGUUUCCUACAACUAUUUCAAACUGUAUAGAGGGUAUAUUUCGAGGGUAUAAAUGUUCGUGGUUUUCGCGGAUUAGGCAUGAACCGCGAACAUUUAUAACCGUGAAUUUAAUAUUUCAUGCAUGCAUGCAUGCUGCAAAAGAGGCGCUAUUCCAUGAAAAUUAAAUCUGCGAAAACCUUUCUUAAAGGCACAUCCGCGAAAAUUUAUACCCUCGAAAUAUACCCGCUAUACGGUAUUGAUAAUGUACAUUGUAGAUCUGCAUACUCCACUUAUUACCCGAGGCGCGCGUGGGCAGCCAUAGGUAUAGUAGUACGUUGGUUUCUUUGUCUGUUUGUCUGUAAUAUGUGAGUCUACUCACCUGGAUGCCAUAGCACUGCGUUUACAGCAUGGAUAGCCUCCACACAACAAGUUAAUAGUGGCAGAUUUCGAUGUUACAGUUUUGUUGUAGAAUAAAAGCGAGAAGCUAGCCUCGAUUCCAAGCCGCUGAGAAAGACGGCCUGGUAUACACUGUUUACGCAUGCGCCAGAAUUACCCAGAAUCUGGGUAAUCGUAAAUUGCAGUAUAUUUAUCAGUAUUCUUAUUCCGCAUUAGUUUGUAAAACAUUGAUAUCCGUUUCAUUUAUAAUGAUGUCAUUGAAAAAAGAAAUCUAGUCCAAGUUGUGUAAUGGCUGCUACCUUCUCUUCUGCUCUCGCGUACGCGUUAUCCUGUGUUGGAAAACCAGGUCUAGUCUUGAAAGACAAGCAGCUGGAGGCGUUGAAGUGUCUGUACGCUGGUGUUUAUGUGGGUACCGUAUCGACCGGCUAUGGCAAGUCCCAGAGCAAGUCCAUCUGCUUUCCAGACACUCCCUUUCUUGGAUUGAUGUGAAGCUUGACAGGACCAGUGCACCUCUCUCUGAAAGAAGUGUUGUGAUAGUGAUUUCUCCUUUUGUUUCUCUGAGUGAAGCCAUCUUCAAAGUGUUGGUGUGUCUGUUCGACGUUCAGUGCCAUUCUCUCUGGAAGGAAGUAUUGUUGUGACAUUUGCCGAAAAUUGGUCACAGAGUAAGUACGUGGUAUCUGAUCCGAGAACUGUGUGGCCUGAAUGUGUUUACAAUCCGAGGGACUUGUGUGUAUCCGAUCCGAGGGACUUGUUGCUUGAGUGUGUAUCCGGACUUGUUGCUUGAGUGUGUAUUAAUGGAUAGUGCUUUCAAUGGUUUAACUAAUUUCUUAUGAGAUUAACUUGUCGCCUGAGUGUGUAUCCGAUCCGAGCCUCAAGUUAAUGAAUAAAUCUACAGAGCUGAUAUUUUACUUAGCUGUCUCUGUCUACAGUAUAUACAGAGAGGUAGCCUCUCUUUUUUCUUUUUUCUGUUCUUUAUCACAAUAAGAUAAAAUACUGUUUUAACGUUCAA